This 120-nucleotide ribosomal RNA is filed under the name uncultured bacterium. RNAcentral's name for it is "partial 16S ribosomal RNA". It matches the Rfam family "Bacterial small subunit ribosomal RNA", at positions 796 to 914 of the family's 1533-position model. The record is from RNAcentral.
CACGCCGUAAACGGUGGGCACUAGGUGUGGGACCCUUCCACGGGUUCCGUGCCGUAGCUAACGCAUUAAGUGCCCCGCCUGGGGAGUACGGCCGCAAGGCUAAAACUCAAAGGAAUUGAC